GCCCCUAGGGUGGCCCCUAAUCGACUGUGACAGUUGUCUGUAUGAGGAGAGGGGAUUUGGAUGUAAAUGGACAUAGAUACACACAGGAAGUCACAGGGAGCAGGUGGCCAAGCUGAGAAGACCAACCUGAGAGCAUCUUGAUUUCAGACUCUGGCCUCCAGAGCCUUGGGAGUUUCUUUGUUGUUUUGUUUUGUUUGUUGUUUUGUUUUUUAAGUAUACAAAUGAUUUUAUUCUUUCUUUCAUUCAAAUUUCUCUAUUGCUACUAAUUCAACAAUUUGCAUAUUCUCUAAUAUACACUUGCAUGUAUUUGUAUAGAUAUACAUAGUAUAUUACACAAAUAUAAUAUUGUAUAUAUGUGUAUGUGUGUAUGAAUUUACAUAUUUUCCCAAAAUAUCUCAGACUAAAUGGUUCAUCUACACUGUCUUUUUUUUAAAAAACACUUCUGCUUUCCUUUUUUGUUAAUUUAAUUUUAUUUUUUACAUAUUCACUUUACAUCCUACUUACUGAACCCUUCCUGGUCACCCCCUCCCAUAAUUCUUCCAUCUACCCCCUCCCUUUCUCCUUUGAGUGGGUGGCCCCCCUGGGCACGCCCUUCCCCCAGUCCUGGCACUUUAGGUCUCUGCAAGGCUAGGUACUUCCUCUCCAUGGGGUGCUUGGUCAGAAAACUCACUAUUGAGUGUGACCAAUAAAAUAACAACAUGAGCCAGGCAUAGUAGCACAUGCCUUCAAUAUCAGCACUCAGGAGGCAGAGGCAGAUGAAUCUCUGUGAGUUCAAAGCCAACCUGGUCUACAUAGUGAGUUCUAACACAGCCAAGAUUACGUAUAGAGACUCUGUCUCAGCACAUAGGGGAGGGGCAGGAAGAAUAUAAAAACAUGAGAUUUGGAGGAAAUUAAGCAAACGAUGCUUUCAAAUCCUCAAUAUGGAUUAAGUAUGACCUGGGUGGGGGAAAUUUAUGCCAUUCCCUUGUUGCCUGUACCAGAGCCCUAUAUAAUAGGAAACUGUGAAGCCUUGGAUGUGGAAGGACCUUUGGGCGCCACCUAUUAUGAAGUCUGUAUUUGUAGUGGACCAUUCAGUUCCUCCUUGCAUAGACUUUUAUUCAGAAGUUACCUAGGCUAGUGAUGGGGUUCCUCCAUGCCUAAAACCCAGACCUUUUCUGGUUCAAGGCAAGCCUCAGCCUUCUCUUUCUCCAGGGCUGUGUCUACAAUACAUCUAGCUCCUUCUGUUUUGACACAAUUGGCUUAGAGAAGCCACCUGGUUUUCUUCUCCUUCCUCUCUUUAUGCUGUUGUGAGUAGUUUCCACAUGCAAAGGGCUAAAGGCUAGGUUCCUAGUCAUUGGAGCAUCUGCCACUAAAAGCCAAGUCCAGCCUCCUUCUUUUCCUUUCUCUAGGGGUGACUUCUAUUUGAAUCUGGCAUCUCGCUGCUGUCUCCUCUGAGUAUCGUACUGUUUUUAUUAAAAUGAUAAAAGGUGGGUUGUGGGUAUGAGGGUGUUAUGAGCUAGAGCUGGCUCUGGUGGCUGGUGCACAGCAGGGUGCCAAAGAGUAGCGCUGAACCACACAGGGAAAACUAGAUAGUGCGUGUUUCUAUGAAGACAUAAUGAAUGGUGUGAGGAUAAACAUGUUUAACACAUGUGUGGGGGAUGAGAAGGUGGCUCAGUCAGGAAAGUGCCUGCGGCUCAGGCAUGGGGACUGAGUCGGGAUCCCAGCACUUACGUAAAAGCCGGUGACAUAUGUCUGUAACCCCGUGACAUGCGGAACCCUGCAUUGGCCAGACAAUCCCAGCCAAACUGAUGAAUUCUCAAUUCAGUGGGAAACCCUAAGAAAUAAACCUGCAGAAACAGAGCGGCAGGACCUCCAUGACUCGGGGAAACGGCAGGAUGUCCAAGUCUCAGUGAGGGUCCAGGAUUGGCUAAGACACAGAAGGCAGAGGCCUCGAACCAGAUCAGCGACUCGUGCAGUGAACAUUGGCAAGUGAGCUGUUUGAACUGAUGAGCGUAUGGUGUUUGUACCAUGAUGCAUCUUGGCAAGACGUUCGUUUUUCUUUUUUGUUUUCUUUGGGGGCAGAGAUUACAAGGGUAAAGGGCACAUAUAUGGAAGGUCUGGGAAAUGAGUGGGAUUAGGGUGCAAGAAUCAAUAAUAAUUUUUAAAAAGAAAUAAAAUGUAGAGUGAAUGAGGAAGGCACAGAACAUUAAUCUCUGGUCUUUGCAGGCACAAGCACGAACAUGCACACAUCUACACAUACAUCCACACACAUGUGCACAUGUCCAUAUGAACUCACACAUACACCACCCACAAACACACACACACACGCACACACGCACAUAAUGUAAUGUAUCUUGUGAACAUUUACAGUUUUUGUUUCAGUGAAAAAAAUAAAUUGUUAAAAAUCAGUAUUAAACAUUUCCUAUCUUUCCUUCCAUAUUGGAUGUUACACAAAAACAUGUCCUACGUAUCUCAAGUUGUUCUUUUAAAAAUAUUUUGCAUUUCUUUAUUAUGUGUCUUUAUGGAGACUUACAUGUUACAGCAUGUAUGUGAAGGUCAAAGGUCUUUCCACCAGUGGGUCCUGUGGUGGAACUCAUCAGGCCUGGCAGUGAGCGGCUUCUCCCACUGAACCCUCACCCCCAACCCCCACCCCAGUCUGUUAUUGUUCCAUUAAGACCUAUUUACAGAAUUUAUCCUUGAUGCCAAAAAUACUGUUCCAGCACAUGCAAGAUAAAACAGUGUUUGUAUUUAAUGUAUAACCCAUCUGCUUCAGUGUUUUCCAGGGCUGUAGGACGAUACCUAACAUAGCUGCUAUGUUGUGUUGUUUGGGGGGAUAAAGACAGGAAUAGUCUGCCCAUGCUUGGAACAGAUGCAGUGAGCAUGGAGGUCAGACUAAGCUGCAUCUCCUUGCUCCAUGACUGAUAUUUAGGCUGCCUCUAGCUGGAUUCUGUUAUUCAGGAUGCUGCCAAGAAUAUUUUUAUCCACGUUCCUUUGUGUAUGUGUAUGAGCCUUUAUUUAGGGUAUGUGUCUGUGGGUGGAAUUGCUAACUUACAGGGGGGCGGGGGGUACACACUUUGCUUUCAGGCUUUCUAGAAACUACAAAUGGUCUUUCCCAGUGUUGCUAGCAGUUUAUAGUCCUGCUUAGUGUCUGGAAUGCCUGGGCCCCCCACCUCCUGCUAGCAUGGCUUUGGGGCCGAUCUUUAAAUAUUAGCGUCUCUUUCGUAGUUGCUCAUCACUUGGCUUUGGUGGUGUGUCCUUCUCCCCUACUAUUCAGAGGUGAGUAGGUGUGGACCUACUAUGCACCUCCAUCGUUUUGCUGUGAAAAUAGACUCGCUAAGUGGGGCAGCUCAGAUCCCCAAAGUAGGUGCGAGACUCUAGAUCCUCUGCUCUCGUUUGUCCCAAACACAUGCCCGGUUUGAAUGAGUGACCAUUGAGCGUUGUUCUAAGCAGGGUCUGGGCUGAGACUGUCUUAGCUGAGUUCAUUAGAGGGCCUGUGCAGCUUAUAGUAGCGGUCGGGGGUGGGGGUCUCGAAUCGGGCCGUUCCACAGUCCCGGGACCCUUGGGCCCGUGGGAAAUGGAAACUGCAAGCUUCAUUUAUUGAAUUUGUUUCUCUUCUGCUUCAAACCCUUCUCAAACCUCUCCCUACUUCUUGCCUACUGCCACGCUGGCUUUUUCUUUGUAGCUACAGAACCCUUUCCUGAACAGGACUCCUCUGUCCACUCUACCUGCAACUUCCCCGCUCCUGACUAUUGGCUCCAGUCUCAUCCAUCCACAGGAAGGGCCCUAACCCCGGCUCUCAUGUGACCUUUUCCCUCCGGGGUCCUCAUCGCAGUGGCCAGUUUACAUGCCUGGGUAUGACUGGGAUGCUGCCUCAAGGAGUCAGGAGUUAAAUCUGGUAUGCGCACUUUCUAUCCCUGGCUUGCACCAGUGUGUCUGACACAUGGCGAGAACUCAGUAAACACUGGUGAAGUGAGUGAAUGAAUAAGUGGUCUGUCUUUACAAAGCUCAGCCUGUCUGAUUUCCUGGAGGCAAAGCUGUCUGCCUAAUUGGAUUUUCCGACUCCUUCCCCAGCCUAGCCCUACAGUAUGGUCUUUUGGAAAAGAACAAAUCUUGUAGACAGUUAAAAGAUGUCUAUUCACGUCUCAAAGGACGCAUCGAGGAGAUAAGUAGGGAAGAAGGGAAAAGGAAGAUCAUUUGUUAGAAGAGCAUCAGUUACCACUAUCUUUGCCUACAAAGGCUGCGUCCGACCAGCUGUGUGAGUGUUCCCUGGGUCCAGCCAGCGGGCCAUGCCCGCUCCGCAGAAUCUGCUUGAAUCAUGGCAGGGUUGGCAGCCUGUUGCUCUUCCUAUUGUCAUUAUAACUUAGAGGAUGCCCACCAGCUGUGUGUAGUUG
This 4370-nucleotide long non-coding RNA is filed under the name Mus musculus (house mouse). RNAcentral's name for it is "long non-coding RNA chr5:76698362-76702732". Lineage: Eukaryota; Metazoa; Chordata; Mammalia; Rodentia; Muridae. The record is from RNAcentral.